This 440-nucleotide ribosomal RNA is filed under the name uncultured bacterium. Its description in RNAcentral is "partial 16S ribosomal RNA". It matches the Rfam family "Bacterial small subunit ribosomal RNA", at positions 339 to 795 of the family's 1533-position model. The record is from RNAcentral.
CUACGGGGCGCUGCAGUGAGGAAUAUUGCACAAUGGGGGGAACCCUGAUGCAGCAACGCCGCGUGGAGGAUGACGCAUUUCGGUGUGUAAACUCCUUUUAUAUGUCAAGAAAAUGACGGUAGCAUAUGAAUAAGCACCGGCUAACUCCGUGCCAGCAGCCGCGGUGAAUACGGAGGGUGCAAGCGUUACUCGGAAUCACUGGGCGUAAAGGACGCGUAGGCGGGUUGGAAAGUCAGGUGUGAAAUCCUACAGCUUAACUGUAGAACUGCACUUGAAACUUCUAAUCUAGAGUAUGGGAGGGGGAGAUGGAAUUAGUGGUGUAGGGGUAAAAUCCGUAGAUAUCACUAGGAAUACCUAAAGCGAAGGCGAUCUCCUGGAACAUUACUGACGCUAAGGCGUGAAAGCGUGGGGAGCAAACAGGAUUAGAUACCCCCGUAGUC